GGGCUUGACUGGAUUUGACGGCAAGUCGAGAUGGUACGUAAGCACGCGGAGCCUCGAUGGCUAGCUCCUUAAUCUGAGUGAUCAAAAAUUAAUUGGCGAAAACAAUUACGCUCUCGCUGCCUAAUCGAAGUACAGUAGAUUACUGGCUUAAUCCCGCUACCAGGUAGCAGGACGAGACAUCGCUCCAAGGAUGUUGUUCCGAAUCCGAGGGUUCAGCGGUGCAGGUAAAUCGGGAAUAGUCAUGGAAGGCCCCGCUUCCACGAUGAAAUCUUAGGGGAUAAGGCAGCAGUGGGUGGUCCAGGUCUUGCUGUAUGCACGAAAACCAAAGUCUGGAAUAAACGUGUAGAAAGCGUAUGGUUUCCUUGUUCGGACGUGGGUUCGAAUCCCACCAGGUCCACU
RNAcentral lists this transfer-messenger RNA (399 nucleotides) under uncultured Prevotella sp. It matches the Rfam family "transfer-messenger RNA". Rfam says of the family: Bacterial tmRNA, also known as 10Sa RNA or SsrA, is named for its dual tRNA and mRNA-like properties. Lineage: Bacteria; Pseudomonadati; Bacteroidota; Bacteroidia; Bacteroidales; Prevotellaceae. The record is from RNAcentral.